ACCAACUACACCAUCGACGUCUUUGCCGUUAGUUCAGCCGGUAUUGCCGGGCCCUUUGUUAGGAACUAUGCCGCCACCGCUGAAACAGAGCCUCUUGCCCCGCCUUCCGUGAUCGUCGGGCUCACGGACCGGACUCGAUCGACGUGAUUUGGGGUUCGAAUCCUGACGAGAGGUGUUCGGGUUCCAUCACCAUCUGUUGGCACGACAAUGACCAUGUUGAAAUCUGCGAGAACAUUCCUGAUGGCGGCGGAAACAACUUCACCAUCACAGACCUGUUGCCGUGCAGCAGUUACGACGUGAUUGUCUCCGUCGUGACUCCUGGAGGUAUCAUCGGCCAACCCGCUGGCAACGCCACUCACACCGAGGACGUCCCGCCCGGCCCCGUCAA
Long non-coding RNA from Penaeus monodon (black tiger shrimp), 388 nucleotides. RefSeq lists it as uncharacterized. The transcript has 3 exons. The record is from RefSeq and is a predicted model, not a curated record. Lineage: Eukaryota; Metazoa; Arthropoda; Malacostraca; Decapoda; Penaeidae.